AUUGAACGCUGGCGGCAGGCCUAACACAUGCAAGUCGAGCGGAUGAAGGGAGCUUGCUCCUGGAUUCAGCGGCGGACGGGUGAGUAAUGCCUAGGAAUCUGCCUGGUAGUGGGGGAUAACGUCCGGAAACGGGCGCUAAUACCGCAUACGUCCUGAGGGAGAAAGUGGGGGAUCUUCGGACCUCACGCUAUCAGAUGAGCCUAGGUCGGAUUAGCUAGUUGGUGGGGUAAAGGCCUACCAAGGCGACGAUCCGUAACUGGUCUGAGAGGAUGAUCAGUCACACUGGAACUGAGACACGGUCCAGACUCCUACGGGAGGCAGCAGUGGGGAAUAUUGGACAAUGGGCGAAAGCCUGAUCCAGCCAUGCCGCGUGUGUGAAGAAGGUCUACGGACUGUAAAGCACUUUAAGUUGGGAGGAAGGGCAGUAAGUUAAUACCUUGCUGUUUUGACGUUACCAACAGAAUAAGCACCGGCUAACUUCGUG
RNAcentral lists this ribosomal RNA (484 nucleotides) under uncultured bacterium. RNAcentral's name for it is "partial 16S ribosomal RNA". It matches the Rfam family "Bacterial small subunit ribosomal RNA", at positions 30 to 507 of the family's 1533-position model. The record is from RNAcentral.